Tetranychus urticae (two-spotted spider mite) is the source of this 1815-nucleotide long non-coding RNA. RefSeq lists it as uncharacterized. NCBI's taxonomy places the organism in Eukaryota, Metazoa, Arthropoda, Arachnida, Trombidiformes, Tetranychidae. The record is from RefSeq and is a predicted model, not a curated record.
AAUUAACUAACAAUUAAUUUGAGAUUAAUUGAUAAUUUUUAAUUUAAAUGAAUGUUUUUAUAUAACCCAGAGACUUGGAUUACUCUUAUGAGAGUUAAAUUAAUCAAAUGAACUUGGUUUAAUUAAUUUUAAUGGCCAUUAAUUAUUAUUUAAUUUAAGUACAAACCCUUUUGACCGUUAAAAGUAAAUCUCAACCAUGAAAAUUGUGUAUAGCAGGAAAAAAUAUAAACACAUUGAAUCUCAUUCUUUCCAAUCAAAUGAUGAUUUACCAAAAUGAGUAAAGUAAAUGUUAAAGGAAAUAAUCAAAGAAUCAUGUUCUUGAUUGAACGAUGAUGAUAUAAAAAUGUGUCUUAUGCCUGUGACUUUGGUGUUGUUAUAUUAUUUUGUCCAUUGGUCCAUUACUUUUAUUGUUUAGAUCUGUUUCAUUUCUGUUUAUGUGUCUCUUGUCAAAUCAAGCUGAUCAAUAGCAGCUCAAUCCAAUUAUCUUAACUGUUAAUGGUUAAAGUGACAGUAUUGACUUAUAAACUUUGCCUCUGGUUUGUGUCACCAUUUUCAUCUCACCCCUUCUUCACCAUCACCAUCAACGUUUUCAUUAUGCUGUUACUCGCCAGCUUCAAUUCAAUUCAUUUUUGCCUUUGAUUCAAAACACAACUUAACCAAUGUCAAACAACAAAAGAAACUUGGUUCAACAUGGAAGUUAUCAUUUUGAAGUAAAAGAAGGAGAAACAGAUAAUGAUGAAGAGAAUCAGAGGAUGGAAAAGGAAAGGAGUAAAAAUAGAGCGAAAAAAAGUAACAUCAAGGAAAACAAAAGGUUAUUCUGUAUUAACGCACAAGUAAAGAUGGAAUUGAAAAAACCAGAGGAAUUGUUAAUUUAUGGUUCCUCAAACAAACACAUUUUCACCUUGAAAGAGUUGAACUGAUGAUAAGAAAGUUGGAUCAACUUUGAAGUUAAACAUUUUAGUUUUGUAACAUUUACUUGUAAACUGUUAUACUUAAAUCACCACCAAGCUAUUCAAUUUCAAAGCUUUCAACAGAUAUCAAUUUCCCUUGAUCAAGACAAACCUUUGGAACCAUGACAGACUGCUAAUUAAAGAAAAGCAAAGUUUAAUUGUCCAUCAAUCAUGAAUGUGUAGGGAUAAAGCCUGGUGUAAGACACACAUUUUUUUGUGAAGAUACACUUUUGAUUUUCAUCAAAAUGUUUCAUUGAUAAGUGUUACUGGUGAUGAUGGUGAUGAUGGCGAUAGAGGCGUUGAUUUAUCUGACAAGCAAAGGGAAAUUGUCCAUUUACAGUUGAUUUAUUUGAUUCAUUUUGACUUGUAAAAUGGUCAAAGGAAACGGAUAUAAUGCUUGGACUGAUCGUGGACAAAAUGAGAGUAAAGUUGCAAGAAAAUGGAAGAUAAAUUGAUUACAAUUUGGUGGAAUAGAAUCGCAAUUUGAAUCGUUAAUCUCUUCACUUUUUUUUCCUUCUCAUUGCCUUGUUGCUUUUGCCAAUUGAACUCACAAUGCACCAGGAAAACUUACCAAGAGGCAGUAAGAGUGAAGAAGGAAGCAACAAAAAGAAGUCAAAAAAGAUUUCCAUUUGGACGUUUUGCUGAGUUUACAGUAAAAAUGCAAAUGAAAUUAAUCUAAAUACAAUUAAAUUGUAAUUGUACAAUUAUUUCGUCUUUUAAUUUACACCAAUUAUAUACCAAAGUAUGUAAAACAUUUGUACAAUAGCAACAAUGGCAACACAAAUCAAUAAGGUUAAUGAAAAAAAAAGACUUACUAACCUAAUGAAAUUGAAUACAGAAUGGUUAAAUCUAUUUAAUCAAUCGA